UUUGAUCCUGGCUCAGGAUGAACGCUGGCGGUAUGCCUAACACAUGCAAGUCGAACGGAAUCUUUCGGGAAAUCUGACUUUUGGUCGGGGACAACCACUGGAAACGGUGGCUAAUACCGGAUAAGCCUGAGGGUAAAAGAUUAAUUGCCAGAAGAGGAGCUCGCGUCUGAUUAGCUAGUUGGUAAGGUAAAGGCUUACCAAGGCGUCGAUCAGUAGCUGGUCUGAGAGGACGAUCAGCCACACUGGGACUGAGACACGGCCCAGACUCCUACGGGAGGCAGCAGUGGGGAAUUUUCCGCAAUGGGCGAAAGCCUGACGGAGCAAUACCGCGUGAGGGAGGAAGGCUCUUGGGUUGUAAACCUCUUUUCUCAGGGAAGAACAAUGACGGUACCUGAGGAAUCGGCAUCGGCUAACUCCGUGCCAGCAGCCGCGGUAAUACGGAGGAUACAAGCGUUAUCCGGAAUGAUUGGGCGUAAAGCGUCCGCAGGUGGCACUCCAAGUCUGCUGUCAAAGACUAGGGCUUAACCCUGGAAAGGCAGUGGAAACUGUAGAGCUAGAGUAUGGUGGGGGCAGAGGGAAUUCCUGGUGUAGCGGUGAAAUGCGUAGAGAUCAGGAAGAACACCGGUGGCGAAAGCGCUCUGCUAGGCCGAAACUGACACUCAUGGACGAAAGCUAGGGGAGCGAAUGGGAUUAGAUACCCCAGUAGUCCUAGCCGUAAACGUUGGAUACUAG
RNAcentral lists this ribosomal RNA (732 nucleotides) under uncultured cyanobacterium. Its description in RNAcentral is "bacterial SSU rRNA". It matches the Rfam family "Bacterial small subunit ribosomal RNA", at positions 12 to 819 of the family's 1533-position model. The record is from RNAcentral. Lineage: Bacteria; Bacillati; Cyanobacteriota.